This 73-nucleotide transfer RNA is filed under the name Bos taurus (domestic cattle). RNAcentral's name for it is "tRNA-Val (TAC) (tRNA-Val-TAC-11-1)". It matches the Rfam family "tRNA". Rfam says of the family: Transfer RNA (tRNA) molecules are approximately 80 nucleotides in length. Their secondary structure includes four short double-helical elements and three loops (D, anti-codon, and T loops). Lineage: Eukaryota; Metazoa; Chordata; Mammalia; Artiodactyla; Bovidae. RNAcentral also lists the same sequence under 4 other names. The record is from Rfam by way of RNAcentral.
UCCCUGGUGGUCCAGUGGUUAAGACUUUGCACUUACAGUGCAGGGGGCCCAAGUUCAAUCCCUGGUCAAGGAG